CAGUAUAGCAGCCAGAGACCCUGCCUGAUAUGUCAUUCUUCACCUAGACCCAGACACAGCCUUCUGUGAAACUCCAUCCAUUUGGAAAAGCUCUAGGCCAGCCCCACAGCUCCAUCUGUCUUUGCCCUGGCACCCAAUUGUGGACAGGGAACCUCCUCCCAAGUAGCUAUGGCCUGCCUGGUGUCAAACUACUUCCCUGAGCCUGUGACAGUGACAUGGAAUUCCGGGGCCAUCUCCAGUGGAAUCCAGACCUAUCCUUCUAUCCUCCAGUCCUCAGGACUCUACACCUCAAGCAGUCAGUUGACAGUUCCUGCAGAUGAUUGGCUCACAAAGUCAUACAUCUGCAAUGUGGCCCACAAACCCACAUCCACCAAAACUGACAAGAAAAUUGAAAAGAUUUCCGAGUGUACAUGCUGCAAAUGCCAAGCAUGUGAUGUCGUUGGACCUUCUGUAUUCCUCUUCCCCCCAAAUCCUAAGGACACCCUCACACUCUCAAGAGUCCCUAAAGUCACCUGUGUGGUGGUUGAUGUGAGUGAUGCAUCAGAGGUUCAAAUUUCCUGGUACAAAGGCCAAAACGCAAUCGACAGUCCUAAACCGACAGAGAGGAAACUAAACAACGGCACCUUUCAGGUGGUCAGCACUCUCUCUGUAGCCCACCAAGAAUGGCUGAAUGGCGUGGCAUACACCUGUAAAGUUGAUAACAAAGAAUUACCAUAUCCUGAGAGAAAGACCAUCUCUCAUACUAAGGGUAACAGAAAGAAGCCUGAUGUGUAUGUCUUUGCCCCACAUUCUGAAGAGUUGAAGCAAAAAGAUACUGUUAGUAUUACCUGCCUAGUAAAAAGUUUCUUCCCUAAAGAAGUCGUUGUUGAAUGGCAAUGCAACAACAAUCCAGAGUCUGAAGAUAACUAUUCCACCACUGAAGCAAUGAGGGAAAACGACACCUUCUUUGUCUAUAGCAAGCUCAAUGUGAAGAAAACAAAAUGGCAAGAGAAUAACCACUACACCUGCACGGUGCUGCAUGAGGCCCUUCCGAACCAAACUUCCCAGAGGACAAUCUCUGCAUCAUCCCCGGAGUUGAUACCAGAUGAGAACUGUGCUGAGACCAGGGAUGGAGAGCUGGAUGGGCUGUGGACCACAAUAUCUAUCUUCAUCACUCUCUUCCUCCUCAGUGUGUGCUACAGUGCCACUGUCACCCUGUUCAAGGUGAAGUGGAUCUUCUCCUCUGUGAUGGAGUUAAAGCAGCCAAUGAUUCCUGAUUAUAGGAACAUGAUGGGGCAAGGGGCCUAAGAGAGGGUCCACUACCCCUCCUUGAAGCUUAGUCCCAGAGAUAGACCUAAAUGGAGUGAGAUCCCUCACCAUGAUUUCCUCAAAACAGCAGAAAUAUCUCCACAUCACAGUCAAAUCCAGCUUCUCCCUGAACCUGUGUUCACCAGUGGUUUCCUUUAGUAUGAGACAAAGACUCUCCGCCUCUUCUAUUCCCCAAGUCCAGAUUAGGAAAAUGGAACCUCCAUCUAACAAAGGUCUCAUUCUCCACCUAUUGCCUUUCUCACAUGGGGCCAUCAGAAAGAAUAUGUUCUUUAGAAUAGGUAUGCAAAGGAAAAGAGAAUAGAAGCUACAUGGUCUACAGUGAGGGCUGAGGAAGGAUCAGCAUCGUUGCUGUUCAAGACAUAAUUGAUAGAUGUACUCAUACUCAUUCCAAUCAAAUGGUUUCACUUUUGGUACUCCUUUUAUGCAAUAUCUGUGGUUCACAUUUGUCCAGGCCUGUGUCCACACCCUUCCACUGCUCUGGCUCAGUAAGAGCUAGGUUGUAAUGCCAUCCUCUCUUCUUUAGUGUUACUGGAAGUGACAUCUGUGCUUUUAUUGCUCCAUAAGUAGUUGUAAGAUUGUAACAUUGUAAAAAUUAUCCUCAUAGCUAAUGUGUAAAUUCUGUCUGCAUGAGAUGGGAGUUGGGGGAGUAUUAAGAGGUUGAAGCUAGGCCAGGAUAUGCAUGAGAUAUAUUCCCAGUAUUGAAAUAAGCCCCAAACUAUCACUCCCCAGAAUCUGGUAGGAGACGGACAAGUGGAUACCAGAAAGAAAAAGAAAUCAGACUAACUGAUGGCAUGGAUUGGUCAUAAAUUAGGCCCUCGCCAGAGAUACUUUGGUUGACUGAUCAUGAGUCAAAGCCAAAGUUGGCUCAAAGGGAAGGGACCCCUUAAUGGAUUAGCAAAAUCUCAGGAUAAAAAUUCUAUUGUCUUAUUUCUCAAUUCUACUCUCUUUAAGUUGUAUCCCUUAGUUAAUUAUAAAAUAUUUUUUUAAAAAUUUGAUCUUGAUUUUAGACUAAUUAAAGAAGUAUUUUUCUGUAACUAAAACAGGAAAUUUGUAUGUAGUUGAUGCUUAAUAAAUGUUGAAUGGAUGAAUGAAUCUGAGUAUACUAGGAUACAAGAAAAGUCUGGUGGCAGCAAGAAGUAAUUAUUAGAAAUACUACCUAUCACCCCAGAAAGUCUGUAGAGUUUGUCAGGAAAGAGAUUUGGUAAGGGUAAGGCCAGAGUAGGGUAGAAAAUUUCUUUAUAAUUUCUUUAUUUAACCCUUGGCAAUGAAAGUUAUAUAGUCAGAAAUUAAGUAAAAUUGUGGUUAAGACAACCCAAAAUCUUCUACAGAAUCAGGUUUCUUGAUUAGAUGAGCAUGAAUUUGGAUUUGUAGAAUGGACCAACGAGUUCAAUCUAAAGCAACAAGCUUAUAAUCAGUUCACCUUUGGUAUUUUUAUAAUACUUUUGAAUUUCCCACAUUUAGGUCUGAGGUGCAGACUGAGGACACCUGAGAACAGGUGGAAGAGAAAACAUCAGUCUAGAUACCUCUCUGGUCCUCAUCAACCCCAAGCCAUGUCACUGCAAGCAUGAAAGUGUUAGAAAGGAUAAUUCAGCAAUGGAUUGAUGUAACUUGAGAUUAGAUCCUUGCACUCCACCUAGGGUUGCAAUUAUUCCAGGGUUCUUUAUCAGCCUGAAAACACCAAUCCUUCACUGACAGUCAAAGAGAACAUAUAACCUUGCUAUUGUUCAGUCAUUUCAGUCGUGUCCAACUCUUCAUGACCCUAUUUGGGGUUUU
This is a non-coding RNA of Trichosurus vulpecula (common brushtail), 3081 nucleotides long. The record is from the annotation of a RefSeq genome assembly. Lineage: Eukaryota; Metazoa; Chordata; Mammalia; Diprotodontia; Phalangeridae.